GAUGAACGCUGGCGGCGUGCCUAAUACAUGCAAGUCGAGCGAACAGACGAGAAGCUUGCUCCUCUGACGUUAGCGGCGGACGGGUGAGUAACACGUGGAUAACCUACCUAUAAGACUGGGAUAACUUCGGGAAACCGUAGCUAAUACCGGAUAAUAUAUUGAACCGCAUGGUUCAAUAGUGAAAGACGGUUUUGCUGUCACUUAUAGAUGGAUCCGCGCCGCAUUAGCUAGUUGGUAAGGUAACGGCUUACCAAGGCAACGAUGCGUAGCCGACCUGAGAGGGUGAUCGGCCACACUGGAACUGAGACACGGUCCAGACUCCUACGGGAGGCAGCAGUAGGGAAUCUUCCGCAAUGGGCGAAAGCCUGACGGAGCAACGCCGCGUGAGUGAUGAAGGUCUUCGGAUCGUAAAACUCUGUUAUUAGGGAAGAACAUAUGUGUAAGUAACUAUGCACGUCUUGACGGUACCUAAUCAGAAAGCCACGGCUAACUACGUG
This 497-nucleotide ribosomal RNA is filed under the name uncultured bacterium. Its description in RNAcentral is "partial 16S ribosomal RNA". It matches the Rfam family "Bacterial small subunit ribosomal RNA", at positions 28 to 507 of the family's 1533-position model. The record is from RNAcentral.